GGUUUCGGUGGCCUAGUGGUUAGAGCUUUCGCCUCGGAUGCGGGAGGUCGUGGUUUCGAACACUGGCCGAGUCA
Non-coding RNA from Potamilus streckersoni, 74 nucleotides. The record is from the annotation of a GenBank genome assembly. NCBI's taxonomy places the organism in Eukaryota, Metazoa, Mollusca, Bivalvia, Unionida, Unionidae.